Molecule: ribosomal RNA, 514 nt
Filed under: uncultured bacterium
Lineage: Bacteria
Description: bacterial SSU rRNA
Rfam family: Bacterial small subunit ribosomal RNA
Source: RNAcentral
AAUGAACGCUGGCGGCGUGCCUAACACAUGCAAGUCGGAUGUGCCCGCAAGGGUGCAUGGCAGACGGGUGAGUAACGCGUGGGGAAUCUACCUUUUAGUGGGGAAUAACGCUCCGAAAGGAGUGGUAAUACCGCAUGUGACCGUCGGCUGGGAUGCCGGCGGUGAAACCCUGGGACCUUCGGGCCAGGGGCUAAAAGAGGAUCCUGCGUCUGAUUAGCUAGUUGGCGGGGUAACGGCCCACCAAGGCGACGAUCAGUAGCCGGCCUGAGAGGGUGAUCGGCCACACUGGAACUGAGACACGGUCCAGACUCCUACGGGAGGCAGCAGUGGGGAAUUUUGCGCAAUGGGGGAAACCCUGACGCAGCAACGCCGCGUGGGUGAUGAAGGUCUUCGGAUUGUAAAACCCUGUCGCCAGGGACGAAGGUGCUUCGGUUAAUAACCGGGGUGCUUGACGGUACCUGGAAAGGAAGCCCCGGCUAACUCUGUGCCAGCAGCCGCGGUAAGGUGCGCGAGU